RNAcentral lists this ribosomal RNA (253 nucleotides) under uncultured bacterium. RNAcentral describes it as "partial 16S ribosomal RNA". It matches the Rfam family "Bacterial small subunit ribosomal RNA", at positions 524 to 776 of the family's 1533-position model. The record is from RNAcentral.
UACGUAGGGACCGAGCGUUGUCCGGAAUCAUUGGGCGUAAAGAGCGUGUAGGCGGCCAUUCAGGUCAGCUGUGAAAACUCGAGGCUCAACCUCGAGACGUCGGUUGAAACCGUUUGGCUAGAGUCCGGAAGAGGAGAGUGGAAUUCCCGGUGUAGCGGUGAAAUGCGCAGAUAUCGGGAAGAACACCCGUGGCGAAGGCGGCUCUCUGGGACGGUACUGACGCUGAGACGCGAAAGCGUGGGGAGCGAACAGG